GACGAACGCUGGCGGCGCGCUUAACACAUGCAAGUCGAACGGAAAGGCCUGCUUUCCCUUGUGGAUUGCGGGUACUCGAGUGGCGAACGGGUGAGUAACACGUGAGUGAUCUGCCCCCAACUUGGGUAUAAGCCUGGGAAACUGGGUCUAAUUCCCGAUAGGACUGCAGGGUGGUGCCGGUGGUGGAAAACGUUUUUUUAGUGGUUGGGGAUGAGCCCGCGGCUUAUCAGCUUGUUGGUGGGGUAAUGGCCUACCAAGGCGGCGACGGGUAGCCGGACUGAGAGGGUGGACGGCCACAUUGGGACUGAGAUACGGCCCAGACUCCUACGGGAGGCAGCAGUGGGGAAUAUUGCACAAUGGGCGGAAGCCUGAUGCAGCGACGCCGCGUGGGGGAUGACGGCCUUCGGGUUGUAAACUCCUUUCGACCGCGAGGAAGCCACCUGGUUGGAAGGGUGGUGACGGUAGUGGUAGAAGAAGCACCGGCUAACUACGUG
Molecule: ribosomal RNA, 494 nt
Filed under: uncultured bacterium
Lineage: Bacteria
Description: partial 16S ribosomal RNA
Rfam family: Bacterial small subunit ribosomal RNA
Source: RNAcentral